GACGAACGCUGGCGGCGUGCUUAACACAUGCAAGUCGAACGGAAAGGCCCUGUCUUUGUGGGGUGCUCUCGUGGCCACCGGGUGAGUAACACUUGAGUACCCUGCCCUUGACUUUGGGAUAACUUCAGGACACUGGGGCUAAUACCGGAUAGGAGCUCCUGCUGUAUGGUGGGGGUUGGAUAGUUUCGGCGGUUGGGGAUGGACUCGCGUCCUAUCAGCUUGUUGGUGGGGUAGUGGCUUAGCAAGGCUUUGACGGGUAGCCGGGCUGGGAGGGUGAGCGGACACGUUGGAACUGAGAUGAGGCACGGACUACUACGGGAGGGAACGGUGGAGAAGAUUGCAUAAUGGGCGGAAGCCAGAUCCAGCAACGCCACGCGCGGGAUGUGGGCCUUCGGGUUGUAAACCGAUGUCGCCUUAGACGAAGCGAGAGUGACGGUAAUGGGUGAAGAAGCACCGGCUAACUACGUG
This 468-nucleotide ribosomal RNA is filed under the name uncultured bacterium. RNAcentral's name for it is "partial 16S ribosomal RNA". It matches the Rfam family "Bacterial small subunit ribosomal RNA", at positions 28 to 507 of the family's 1533-position model. The record is from RNAcentral.